CACUAUAUAGCAAAGGAUUUGCGACAAAAUAUCAUGCCUUCAGUGUGUUUUGUAUUAUACAUACAGCGUCAAUGACCGCUACAACAGAUUCCACCACAAAGCUUUUCUGUGGCAAAAUGGCGGAUCCACGGGCUUUAAUGUUUUGUCGCAAAUCCUUUGCUUGCCAUUACUGCAUCAAAAGCAAACCGCCAAAGCAACCAUACCAACGUAAUACAAUAAACAUAAUUAUCCAUUAAGGACUUACCGUGACAACGAACUUCUUUGGUUGAACCGCAAAGUUGAAAGACAGAACGUACUCGAAAGAAUCCGCUCACAAUAUUAAUCCGUGGAAAGGAGAGCAAAAGGGUCUAUCUGAAUAAAGAUGUCUCAAGCAGAGAAAAUCCGAUCAGAGUGAGACGAGCCGUGCGUCGCUGACGAUAGUCAUUCAACUCGCGAAGCACCAUGGGAGUAUGCCACGCCCACACCUCUACAGAUGAUGUAGAUGUGUUUCUCUGCUCUUCAUGCCGGACAACAUCUCCUGACUACUUGCUCGCCAAAGUAAAAAAGAUAAGAUUGACGGAUGUCCAAAACGGGAAGACUGAAUAAUACAGUUGGUAUUCCAUAUGAAUAUUCCAAUUUAACAAACCAUACACGGAUUCGGAAAUACCUUAAUUUCAUGAUUUGGAUUGUGGCUUUGAAUAAUAGCUAGCCUACUGUGUGUACCUCGUCACGCACUCAAGGGCGUACACCACGCCCACACCUGAACCACGCCCACACCUGAACAGAUAUAAUCAGGAGACCACUGUGUAAAACAUCACUUGCCCUGAGCAAUCUUAUGAACAACACCAUUACACUCGUCUUGCCUCGUCUUGCCUCGUCUUGCCUCGUCUUGCCUCGUCCCGCCUCGACCCGCCUUGUCUCGUCUCAGCUUGAUUUGUUCUCAAAAGAAAAUAAAUGGCCGGAAAGUCCCCAGCAGACUUUCCAUCAACAAACCACCCCGAGACAAUUGCCAUGAAGGCUGAAUCAAGGAAUAACUAUCAUAUCUGUGUAGAUAAAAUAUACACCAGGGAACAGAAGGUCGACCAUGCGUUCCGAUUCGGUAUGCUGGUGUGCGCAAAGACCAUCCACUACACCGAGCGGGAGAAGGCACACAAAAAACAACUGGAAUUCCUUCGGAGGGAGGUUGAUAGACGUGGCAAAAUUAUCCACAAUUUAGAACUGGACCUGGCGGCAUCCGAGGCCAGCUUGUCUGCCUCGGAGACAAAUCUGGACGCCACAAAAAACGACUUGGAAGAUCUUCAACUUAUCAACGCCUCCCAAGAUACGGAUUCGUCACACUCACAGCCAUUGUGUUCGACAAUGAUUGAUGACGAGAACGGGAACGGAGAUCCCGAAUGAUAGGCCCCUGAAUUAUAUUGUAAAUAGUGUUUUUUUUUUUUAAUAUAUUGUGAUAUUGUAAAUAGUGUGUUUUUUUUUAUUUGUGUGAAAUUUUUUUUUUUAUAUAGUGUGAUAUUGUAA
This is a long non-coding RNA of Gadus chalcogrammus (walleye pollock), 1497 nucleotides long. RefSeq lists it as uncharacterized. The record is from RefSeq and is a predicted model, not a curated record. The transcript is spliced from 6 exons. Lineage: Eukaryota; Metazoa; Chordata; Actinopteri; Gadiformes; Gadidae.